This 459-nucleotide ribosomal RNA is filed under the name uncultured bacterium. RNAcentral's name for it is "partial 16S ribosomal RNA". It matches the Rfam family "Bacterial small subunit ribosomal RNA", at positions 338 to 795 of the family's 1533-position model. The record is from RNAcentral.
CCUACGGGUGGCAGCAGUGAGGAAUAUUGGUCAAUGGUCGGGAGACUGAACCAGCCAAGCCGCGUGAGGGAGGAAGGUACAGAGUAUCGUAAACCUCUUUUGUCAGGGAACAAAGGUGGGGACGUGUCCCCGGAUGAGUGUACCUGAAGAAAAAGCAUCGGCUAACUCCGUGCCAGCAGCCGCGGUAAAACGGGGGAGGCGGGGGUUAUCCGAAUUUGUGGGGUUAAAGGGGUGGGCAGGCGGUCUGUUAAGUUAGCGGUAAAAGCCCGGGGCUAAACCCCGACCCGCCGUUGAAACUGGCAGUCUCGAGUUGGAGAGAAGUAUGCGGAAUGCGCGGUGUAGCGGUGAAAUGCAUAGAUAUCGCGCAGAACUCCGAUUGCGAAGGCAGCAUGCCGGCUCCACACUGACGCUGAGGCACGAAAGCGUGGGUAUCGAACAGGAUUAGAUACCCCAGUAGUC